Molecule: ribosomal RNA, 516 nt
Filed under: uncultured bacterium
Lineage: Bacteria
Description: bacterial SSU rRNA
Rfam family: Bacterial small subunit ribosomal RNA
Source: RNAcentral
CUACGUGCCAGCAGCCGCGGUAAUACGGAAGGUUCGGGCGUUAUCCGGAUUUAUUGGGUUUAAAGGGAGCGUAGGCCGGAGAUUAAGUGUGUUGUGAAAUGUAGACGCUCAACGUCUGACUUGCAGCGCAUACUGGUUUCCUUGAGUACGCACAACGUUGGCGGAAUUCGUCGUGUAGCGGUGAAAUGCUUAGAUAUGACGAAGAACUCCGAUUGCGAAGGCAGCUGACGGGAGCGCAACUGACGCUUAAGCUCGAAGGUGCGGGUAUCAAACAGGAUUAGAUACCCUGGUAGUCCGCACAGUAAACGAUGGAUGCCCGUUGUUAGUUCACUUAUGAAUUAGCGACCAAGCGAAAGCAUUAAGCAUCCCACCUGGGGAGUACGCCGGCAACGGUGAAACUCAAAGGAAUUGACGGGGGCCCGCACAAGCGGUGGAGCAUGUGGUUUAAUUCGAAGCAACGCGAAGAACCUUACCAGGUCUUGACAUCCCUCUGACCGCUCUAGAGAUAGAGUUUUC